Molecule: non-coding RNA, 158 nt
Organism: Diplodia seriata
Lineage: Eukaryota; Fungi; Ascomycota; Dothideomycetes; Botryosphaeriales; Botryosphaeriaceae
Source: Rfam
UUGUCUCGUGCCUCGCUCGGUCUUCAGUCCUCAAUUUGAAGAUCUUGAGCUGGAUACACUAUUGUGUAAAAGACAAGAAAAAAUUUCCGACGAUCUUUGAGUACGGGCGCGCCGGAACUUGUCCAGCGGCGAACUCGUAAUUUAUCAGUCGGAACAUG